RNAcentral lists this ribosomal RNA (429 nucleotides) under Bacillota bacterium. Its description in RNAcentral is "Firmicutes bacterium partial 16S ribosomal RNA". It matches the Rfam family "Bacterial small subunit ribosomal RNA", at positions 355 to 776 of the family's 1533-position model. The record is from RNAcentral. Lineage: Bacteria; Bacillati; Bacillota.
UAGGGAAUCUUCGGCAAUGGACGGAAGUCUGACCGAGCAACGCCGCGUGAGUGAAGAAGGUUUUCGGAUCGUAAAGCUCGGUUGUUAGAGAAGAACGUUGGUAGGAGUGGAAAAUCUACCAAGUGACGGUAACUAACCAGAAAGGGACGGCUAACCACGUGCCAGCAGCCGCGGUAAUACGUAGGUCCCGAGCGUUGUCCGGAUUUAUUGGGCGUAAAGCGAGCGCAGGCGGUUCUUUAAGUCUGAAGUUAAAGGCAGUGGCUUAACCAUUGUACGCUUUGGAAACUGGAGGACUUGAGUGCAGAAGGGGGGAGUGGAAUUCCCUGUGUAGCGGUGAAAUGCGUAGAUAUAUGGAGGAACACCGGUGGCGAAAGCGACUCUCUGGUCUGUAACUGACGCUGAGGCUCGAAAGCGUGGGGAGCAAACAGG